CGCAUAUAUGACCCCGAUUACUUUGUAACACACGUGACAUGGAUGUUGCGUUUGCAAAACGAAAGUAACUGUUAACAUGGACUGUAGAACAAAAAGACCGUUGAUGAUAAUUUUAUUCUGUAAUCAUGAAGCGGCAACUAAAGCAGCAGUGUAUUGAAUCAUUUUUCGAGAAUUCGCCGAAACGAUAGAAGGCUUAGCCCGGUCUGUUCACCGACAAAGUCAAAACACGGAUCGUCAUUUUUACCGACUGAAUGAAGAAAAAUAUUCAUGGCUAAAGUACGACGAAGAUGAAGGCAUGUUUUGUAAGCAGUCUGCUUACAAGACUUAGCAGACUUAUGGACAGAGAUCA
Molecule: long non-coding RNA, 349 nt
Organism: Pecten maximus
Lineage: Eukaryota; Metazoa; Mollusca; Bivalvia; Pectinida; Pectinidae
Exons: 2
Source: RefSeq, a predicted model, not a curated record